UCGCCUGUUUAUCAAAAACAUAGCCUAUUGNNAAAUUAUACUAAAUGAAUUCUGCCCAGUGUUUUAAUAAAUGGCCGCAGUACCCUGACUGUGCUAAGGUAGCAUAAUCAAUUGGCUUUUAAUUGAAGUCUGGAAUGAAUGAAAUAAUGGAGGAAUGCUGUCUUAAAAGUAUUAAUUUAAAUUUAUUUAAAAGGUGAAAAUACCUUUUUUUAAAAAAAAGACGAGAAGACCCUAAGAAUUUUUAGAUUAAUUUUCAAAAUUAAAUCUUUUUGUUGGGGCGACAGAUUAGAAAAACUAAACCUAAUUUUUUAAAUUGGCGAAUUUUUUAAGUAAUAAAAAAUUACCUUAGGGAUAACAGCAUAUUGUAAAAUUUUUUAUGUUUGUGACCUCGAUGUUGGACUAGGAACUUUAUGGCUAGCAGUCAGAAAAGAUUUAUUCUGUUCGAAUUANNNNAUCCU
This 458-nucleotide ribosomal RNA is filed under the name Bulinus ugandae. Its description in RNAcentral is "partial large subunit ribosomal RNA". It matches the Rfam family "Bacterial large subunit ribosomal RNA", at positions 1796 to 2596 of the family's 2925-position model. The record is from RNAcentral. Lineage: Eukaryota; Metazoa; Mollusca; Gastropoda; Planorbidae.